AAUAUCAAAGGUGAGCCAGUACAGGAUGGACCCGCGUCUGAUUAGCUAGUUGGUAAGGUAACGGCUUACCAAGGCGACGAUCAGUAGCCGACCUGAGAGGGUGAUCGGCCACAUUGGAACUGAGACACGGUCCAAACUCCUACGGGAGGCAGCAGUGGGGAAUAUUGCACAAUGGGCGAAAGCCUGAUGCAGCAACGCCGCGUGAGUGAUGAAGGCCUUCGGGUCGUAAAACCCUGUCCUCAAGGAAGAUAAUGACGGUACUUGAGGAGGAAGCCCCGGCUAACUACGUGCCAGCAGCCGCG
Molecule: ribosomal RNA, 302 nt
Filed under: Clostridioides difficile
Lineage: Bacteria; Bacillati; Bacillota; Clostridia; Peptostreptococcales; Peptostreptococcaceae
Description: bacterial SSU rRNA
Rfam family: Bacterial small subunit ribosomal RNA
Source: RNAcentral